ACGCCUCGACAUCCUGUCCAUG
This 22-nucleotide microRNA is filed under the name Gadus morhua (Atlantic cod). RNAcentral describes it as "gmo-miR-11195-5p". The record is from miRBase by way of RNAcentral. Lineage: Eukaryota; Metazoa; Chordata; Actinopteri; Gadiformes; Gadidae.